RNAcentral lists this ribosomal RNA (488 nucleotides) under uncultured bacterium. RNAcentral describes it as "partial 16S ribosomal RNA". It matches the Rfam family "Bacterial small subunit ribosomal RNA", at positions 28 to 507 of the family's 1533-position model. The record is from RNAcentral.
GACGAACGCUGGCGGCGUGCUUAACACAUGCGAGUCGAACGCGCCUGUCCUCUGGGUUUCUGGGGGGUGGGUGAGUGGCGAACGGGUGAGUAACACGUGAGUAACCUGCCCCCGUCUUCGGGAUAACGGUCUGAAAGGGCUGCUAAUACCGGGUAUUCACUGGUCUCCGCAUGGGGUCUGGUGGAAAGGUUUUUUUCUGGUGGGGGAUGGGCUCGCGGCCUAUCAGCUUGUUGGUGGGGUGAUGGCCCACCAAGGCUUUGACGGGUAGACGGCCUGAUAGGGUGCCCGGUCACAGUGGCACUGAGCUGCCGCCCAGAGUCGGACGGGGGACAGAAGUGGGGACUAUUGCACAAUGCGUGACAGCCUGAUGCCGCGUCGCCGCGUGAGGGCUGGGGGCCUUCGGGUUCUGAAACUCUUUCGGCCGUGGUGUAGCCGCGACGUGGGUCGUGGUGAGGGUAGUGGGUAAAGAAGCGCCGGCUAACUACGUG